Molecule: ribosomal RNA, 467 nt
Filed under: uncultured bacterium
Lineage: Bacteria
Description: bacterial SSU rRNA
Rfam family: Bacterial small subunit ribosomal RNA
Source: RNAcentral
GACACGCUGGCGGCGCGCUUAACACAUGCAAGUCGUGCGGUGUCGAAGGCAAGUCUUACGACAAGCCUUCGACACAGCGGCGAACGGGUGAGUAACACGUGAGUAGCUGUCCUAAGGAGGGGGAUAACGCCUGGAAACGGGUGCUAAUACCCCAUAUGCCUCGCAAGAGGUGAAAGUGUACUUGUUACAGCCUUAGGGUGUGCUCGCGGCCUAUCAGCUAGUUGGUGAGGUAACGGCUCACCAAGGCUAAGACGGGUAGCCGGCCUGAGAGGGUGUACGGCCACACUGGAAUUGAGAUACGGUCCAGACUCCUACGGGAGGCAGCAGUGGGGAAUAUUGCACAAUGGGCGAAAGCCUGAUGCAGCGACGCCGCGUGAGGGAUGACGGCCUUCGGGUUGUAAACCUCUUUCAGCAGGGAAGAAGCGAAAGUGACGGUACCUGCAGAAGAAGCACCGGCUAACUACGUG